ACGUAGGUGGCGAGCGUUAUCCGGAUUUACUGGGCGUAAAGGGAGCGUAGGCGGAUGAUUAAGUGGGAUGUGAAAUACCCAGGCUCAACUUGGGUGCUGCAUUCCAAACUGGUUAUCUAGAGUGCAGGAGAGGAGAGUGGAAUUCCUAGUGUAGCGGUGAAAUGCGUAGAGAUUAGGAAGAACACCAGUGGCGAAGGCGACUCUCUGGACUGUAACUGACGCUGAGGCUCGAAAGCGUGGGGAGCAAACAG
Molecule: ribosomal RNA, 251 nt
Filed under: uncultured bacterium
Lineage: Bacteria
Description: partial 16S ribosomal RNA
Rfam family: Bacterial small subunit ribosomal RNA
Source: RNAcentral